Molecule: transfer RNA, 83 nt
Filed under: Chlorobiota bacterium
Lineage: Bacteria; Pseudomonadati; Chlorobiota
Description: tRNA-Leu
Rfam family: tRNA
About the family: Transfer RNA (tRNA) molecules are approximately 80 nucleotides in length. Their secondary structure includes four short double-helical elements and three loops (D, anti-codon, and T loops). Further hydrogen bonds mediate the characteristic L-shaped molecular structure. tRNAs have two regions of fundamental functional importance: the anti-codon, which is responsible for specific mRNA codon recognition, and the 3' end, to which the tRNAs corresponding amino acid is attached (by aminoacyl-tRNA synthetases). tRNAs cope with the degeneracy of the genetic code in two manners: having more than one tRNA (with a specific anti-codon) for a particular amino acid; and 'wobble' base-pairing, i.e. permitting non-standard base-pairing at the 3rd anti-codon position.
Source: RNAcentral
GCGGAUGUGGCGAAAUUGGCAUACGCGCCAGACUUAGGAUCUGGUGGGGCAACCCGUGGGAGUUCGACCCUCCCCAUCCGCAC